AAUUGAAACACCAGUUUCCGUAUGAUCAGUGAAGUUAAGCAACAUCAAGCUUUGUCAGUACCUUGAUGGGUGACUGCUUGAGAAUACCAGUUGCUGUAAG
Non-coding RNA from Acanthosepion pharaonis, 100 nucleotides. The record is from the annotation of a GenBank genome assembly. NCBI's taxonomy places the organism in Eukaryota, Metazoa, Mollusca, Cephalopoda, Sepiida, Sepiidae.